GUUGAGGGAAGCCUGGAACCGGAAGUGAAGAGAGAUUCCCUCCCUCGUCGCUGUUGCUGCCGCCAUACGCGCUCGCCCUGCUCUGCUCUUCUAUCAGAAACUAGUACCUUUUCUUUUGCCCUUUAUCAAGCCCCUCUCUUUCCCCUUGUUUUCACCUGUUCUGGGAGAACUCAUCGAGAGACCCCUCCCCUUCUCCCCCUGCCGGCCCAAUUAUGGCAGAGAAUGAUGUGGACAAUGAGCUCUUGGACUAUGAAGAUGAUGAGGUGGAAACGGCAGCUGGGGGAGAUGGAGCUGAGGCUCCUGCCAAGAAGGAUGUCAAGGGCUCCUAUGUCUCCAUCCAUAGCUCUGGCUUUCGGGACUUCUUGCUCAAGCCAGAGUUACUCCGGGCUAUUGUUGACUGUGGCUUUGAGCAUCCAUCAGAAGUCCAGCAUGAAUGUAUCCCUCAGGCCAUUCUGGGAAUGGAUGUCCUGUGCCAGGCCAAAUCAGGCAUGGGAAAGACAGCAGUGUUUGUGUUGGCCACACUGCAACAGCUGGAGCCAGUUACUGGACAGGUGUCCGUGCUGGUGAUGUGUCACACUAGGGAGUUGGCUUUUCAGAUCAGCAAAGAAUAUGAGCGCUUUUCUAAAUACAUGCCCAAUGUCAAGGUUGCAGUUUUUUUUGGUGGUCUGUCUAUCAAGAAGGAUGAAGAGGUGCUGAAGAAGAACUGCCCGCAUAUCGUCGUGGGGACUCCUGGCCGCAUCCUAGCCCUGGCUCGAAAUAAGAGCCUCAACCUCAAACAUAUUAAACACUUUAUCUUGGAUGAAUGUGAUAAGAUGCUUGACCAGCUCGACAUGCGUCGGGAUGUCCAGGAAAUUUUUCGCAUGACCCCCCAUGAGAAGCAGGUCAUGAUGUUCAGUGCUACCUUGGGCAAAGAGAUCCGUCCAGUCUGCCGCAAGUUCAUGCAAGAUCCAAUGGAGAUCUUCGUGGAUGAUGAGACGAAGUUGACGCUGCAUGGGUUGCAGCAGUACUACGUGAAACUGAAGGACAACGAGAAGAACCGGAAACUCUUUGACCUUCUGGAUGUCCUUGAGUUCAACCAGGUGGUGAUCUUUGUGAAGUCUGUGCAGCGGUGCAUCGCCCUGGCCCAGCUCCUAGUAGAGCAGAACUUUCCAGCCAUUGCCAUCCAUCGUGGGAUGCCUCAGGAGGAGAGGCUUUCUCGGUAUCAGCAGUUUAAAGAUUUUCAACGACGGAUUCUUGUGGCCACCAACCUAUUUGGCCGAGGCAUGGACAUUGAGCGGGUGAACAUUGCCUUUAACUAUGACAUGCCUGAGGAUUCUGACACCUACCUACAUCGGGUGGCCAGAGCAGGUCGCUUUGGCACCAAGGGCUUGGCUAUCACAUUUGUGUCAGAUGAGAAUGACGCCAAGAUUCUUAAUGACGUGCAGGACCGCUUUGAGGUCAACAUCAGUGAGCUGCCUGAUGAGAUAGACAUCUCCUCCUACAUUGAACAGACGCGGUAGAGGAUUCACCCAUUCUGGAAUGUGACGGUCUAUCUCUUCAGGAGAGGACACCAGCUCUGGGGAUGCCAGCUGUUGAGUCAUGAGCAGCCUGUGGAAAGGUCCAGGUGACUAGGAAUGGAGGCCUCUUGGGACCAGCUAGCAAGUACCUGAGCCCUCUCCAACAGCCAUAUGAAGGAGCCAUGCUCCUUGGGAGCCCCCAGUGCCAGUCAGGUCCUCAAAGGAUGCAGCCUUGGCUGAUGACUGCGACCUUGUGAGAGACCCUGAGCCAGAAGCACUCAAGGAACCUCUCCUGGAUUCCUGACCAUCACACCCUGAGGGAGAUAAUGUUCCAUGUUUCCAGCUGCCAAGUUUUGGGUAGUUUGUUAUAUAGCAGUAGAUAAGUAAUAUAGAUUCUAAGGAAAGAUUAAAUCAUUGUACUUUUUUAUUUGCCCUAAAUAAACCGUGUCAGUUAAAUGAUAUUUAACAUGUCAGUUGGAUUUAAGAUUUUUCACAGCUAAGUGGGAUGUAAUUUAUUAUUAUUCUCAAACAUCUAUUUAUUUGACUUUCAUGAUCCAGCUGUGACUCAAUUACACAAAAAAGUAAGAAUCUGGCUAUGUUAGUCUGAUUUUGUGAUGGACCCUAACACCACCCCAGUUAGCCACCUUUCUUCAAUCAAUCAAAUGCUAAGGUAUUUGCUACUGUGAAGGGAUUUUUGCAGAUGAAAUUACAGUCUCAAAUCAGUUAACCUUAACAAGGGGACUGUCCUAACUAGGUGAUCCUUUAAAAGGACCAAGCUCUUCCUGAGAGAAGAGAUCCAUUGUGUGAGAAGGAUUCAGUGUGAGAGAUCUUCUUAAAUGUGGGCUUUGAAAAUGGAGGGGCAAGUCAGGUGCGGUGGGGCAUGCCUGUAAUCCCAGCAGCUCUGGAGGCUGAGGCAGGAGGAUUGUGAGUUCAAAGCCAGCCUCAGGAAAAGCAAGGUGCUAAGCAACUCAGUGAACCCUGUCUCUAAAUAAAAUACAAAAUCGGGCUGGGGWUAUGGCUAAGUGGUCACCAAGUUGCCAGUAGUCCUCCCCCUCUCUCCCUGACAGCCAGCAAGGAGAGAGGGACCUCAGCCCUAAACGUGCAGGAAAUGGGAUUCUGCCCACAGCAUUGUGUGAGUUUGGAGGAUACUUGAGAUGAGACCACAACUUUAUGAAAUCCUGAAGAGAGAAUCCAUGCAUAUCAUGCUUAGAUUUCUGACUAAGGAAAUGUAAGCAAAUAAAUGGUAAUGUUUUGGGCUAUCAAGUUUGUGGUAACUUCUUAUGUAGUAAUCAAAAACUGUCAGGCUCAACUGUGCAACAGAUAAGUGUUUUCUCCAUUGGAAUGAAUUUAUAAAUUGUGUACAUGAAA
Molecule: RNA transcript, 2864 nt
Organism: Urocitellus parryii (Arctic ground squirrel)
Lineage: Eukaryota; Metazoa; Chordata; Mammalia; Rodentia; Sciuridae
Gene: Ddx39b
Gene name: DExD-box helicase 39B
Source: RefSeq, a predicted model, not a curated record